CGCAGCCGCGGUAAUUCCAGCUCCAAUAGCGUAUAUUAAAGUUGUUGCAGUUAAAAAGCUCGUAGUUGAAUUUCGGGAUCAAUUCGUCGGUCGUGCUUUUUGGUACGUACUGGUGUUAUUGGUUUCUCCCUUCUGACAAGCCAUGAUGUCAUUAAUUUGGUGUUAUGGGGAGUUAGGACUGUUACUUUGAAAAAAUUAGAGUGUUUAAAGCAGGCAUUAGCUUGAAUACAUUAGCAUGGAAUAAUGAAAUAGGACGUUCGAACCUAUUUUGUUGGUUUCUAGGAUCAACGUAAUGAUUAAUAGGGAUAGUUGGGGGCAUUAGUAUUCAAUUGUCAGAGGUGAAAUUCUUGGAUUUAUUGAAGACUAACUACUGCGAAAGCAUUUGCCAAGGAUGUUUUCAUUAAUCAAGAACGAAAGUUAGGGGAUCGAAGACGAUCAGAUACCGUCGUAGUCUUAACCAUGAACUAUGCCGACUAGGGAUCGGAUGAUGUUAAUUUUAAUGACUCAUUUGCGCCUUAGG
RNAcentral lists this ribosomal RNA (520 nucleotides) under uncultured Glomeromycotina. Its description in RNAcentral is "SSU rRNA". It matches the Rfam family "Eukaryotic small subunit ribosomal RNA", at positions 569 to 1092 of the family's 1831-position model. Lineage: Eukaryota; Fungi; Glomeromycota. The record is from RNAcentral.